UUAGGUUUUCAAUUCAAGUAUCUCCUGGAGAUUGAAGUGAAAACCAGAGUACCAGAGAGAGAGAAAGAAACGACGAGUUGUUGUUGAUUCAGUAGAGAGAGAGAGAGAGAGAGAGAGAGAUCGAAGAAGAACGACCUAGCUCGCAGAAAAAGACAGCACGAAUUCGAACUCCAAAGCACUUUUUCUCUAUCUCUAUAUAUAUGUAUGUAUAUAUGUGUGUGUUUAUAUGAUUUGAAUUGGGUUUUUGGUAAAUUGGCCCCCUAAAUGUUUUUGUUGUGGGUAUGUGAUUGAGUUUGUUCUGAUUUGUAUUUGAAAAAAUCAGGAGAGAAAUUAGAGAAAGAAAACAAGGCAAAGAAGCUGCAGGCCAAGAAGAAUCAGAUGAAAGUGGAUGGUAGUGACACGAAGAAAAAGAAGAAGUGUGCAAGUGGAUUCCAAGUUGGGAAGAGAAAAGUGAAGACCAAGUUGACAGCAUUGGCAAAAGCAAAGGCUGCCCAAGCGAUGGAGCUUGACAAACGAGGUUCUACUUUGAGUCACUGAGGCAUUAGCUAACUUCAGGAUAUGUAACUUUGAAGGAAAAGGUUCAUCUUUACCUCUGUGCUCUUUGACAAUUUCUUCUCUAGUCACUGGUUCCUAUGAAAUUAAUAUUCUCCAUUAUACUGUUUUUCAUUAAUAAUGUGAAUAUGUGAUUGUUUUUAUAAUUUUGCUUACUGUUUAUGCAGUCAAUUUUGUGGCUGGACAGUGUGUGUCUUUUCCCUUAACAACGAAGUUGAAAAUUGUGAGUGUUGAGUGUGAA
Non-coding RNA from Camellia sinensis, 793 nucleotides. NCBI's taxonomy places the organism in Eukaryota, Viridiplantae, Streptophyta, Magnoliopsida, Ericales, Theaceae. The record is from RefSeq and is a predicted model, not a curated record.